Molecule: ribosomal RNA, 772 nt
Filed under: uncultured Neocallimastigales
Lineage: Eukaryota; Fungi; Neocallimastigomycota; Neocallimastigomycetes; Neocallimastigales
Description: partial large subunit ribosomal RNA
Rfam family: Eukaryotic large subunit ribosomal RNA
Source: RNAcentral
AGAGAGAGACAUGCGCGCAUAUCAAUAAGCGGAGGAAAAGAAACUAACUAGGAUUCCCUCAGUAACGGCGAGUGAAGCGGGAAGAGCUCAAAUUUGAAAUCUUCAAGGUUCUACCUUGACGAAUUGUAGUUUAAAGAAGUGUUUCUGUUGGAGUUUUGGUAAAAGUUCUUUGGAAUAGGACAUCAUAGAGGGUGAGAAUCCCGUAUUUGACCAUUAUUUCCAGCUUUGUGAUACACUUUCAAAGAGUCGGAUUGUUUGGGAAUGCAGUCCAAAAUGGGUGGUAAAUUUCAUCUAAAGCUAAAUACUGGCGAGAGACCGAUAGCGAACAAGUACCGUGAGGGAAAGAUGAAAAGAACUUUGAAAAGGGAGUUAAACAGUACGUGAAAUUGUCAAAAGGGAAGCGUUUGACAUCAGUGUUGUUUUCUCGAAAAUCAAUUAAAAAAGGCAGGAUUUUGUGUUGUAUUGACUUUAUCAGCUUUCUGCACUCUUUUCUUGUCUUUUUUAAUGCACUUUUCGUUUAACAAGUCAACAUCAAUUUCUUUUGUUGUAAAAGGGUCAUUGGAAGGUGGCUUUCUUUUCGGAGAAAGUGUUUAUAGCCUUUGCCUCUGCAAUCGGAGAGAUUGAGGUCUGCAGCGUAGAUCCUUCGGGGUUAGAUACAUUUGUGCUAAGUUAUAGCCUUUCAUAGACAACUCGUUGACUAUGAUCAGUCAUGUAGCUUACUCGCUUAUGCUAUUUUACCUACGCUUAGGAUGUUGAUGUGAUACUGCGAGCA